Non-coding RNA from Xylariaceae sp. FL0594, 93 nucleotides. The record is from the annotation of a GenBank genome assembly. NCBI's taxonomy places the organism in Eukaryota, Fungi, Ascomycota, Sordariomycetes, Xylariales, Xylariaceae.
GGUUCCGUGGCCUAAUGGCUAGGGCGCUAGAUUUCGGUUCUAUUACGAUAUACGAUUCUCUAGAGAUUGUCGGUUCGAGUCCGGCCGGGAUCG